GAUCAUGGCUCAGGAUGAACGCUAGCUACAGGCUUAACACAUGCAAGUCGAGGGGCAGCAUGAACUUAGCUUGCUAAGUUUGAUGGCGACCGGCGCACGGGUGAGUAACACGUAUCCAACCUGCCGAUGACUCGGGGAUAGCCUUUCGAAAGAAAGAUUAAUACCCGAUGGCAUAGUUCUUCCGCAUGGUAGAACUAUUAAAGUAAAUUUACGGUUCAUCGAUGGGGAGUGCGUUCCU
Molecule: ribosomal RNA, 238 nt
Filed under: uncultured bacterium
Lineage: Bacteria
Description: partial 16S ribosomal RNA
Rfam family: Bacterial small subunit ribosomal RNA
Source: RNAcentral